UUACGGACAGAGUAGGCCGUGGACACCAAGAUGGAGACACAGAUGGAUUUAUUUCAAAUGAUGCAAACAGACAGUGAGUAGAUGAAUGCAUACUGGUCACUGAUACCGCUAGCGAGGUUGGAGAUCCAAGGUAGAAGACACACACACCGGAGACAGAAGAAACACAGGACAGGAGUCAGGAAAACACUCUUUUUCGUUGGGGAGGAGUCCGAGACGUUGCAGCACAGGAUACAGCAAACUGUCCGUAUUACAAACGAGACCACACACUGACUGAGAUGAGUGGUGUGCUUUUGUACUGGGGCUGGAGUGUUGCAGAUGGAUAUCAGCCUUUCUUGGGAUUCAACUGUCAACUUUCCAGGUACCUGGCCACCUGUCUGCCCUGCAGGCUACAGCCACUUCAGCCUCCAUGACCUCCAUGCCAGCAUACCAGAGAAGAUGGAUUACAGUCGAGGAUAGGCAGCACCUAACCAGCAGGAUACAUUAGCAAUGACGUCAAAAUGUCUUCCAUGAAAAAGGCCUAUAGCUCCACCCAUCUUCAACCUAAGUGGAGUUCUUUUUAGCCAGAAUAAUUGAAAACCUGUAUGUGCAUAGAGCUUUUACAGGUAUCGGCCCAUAUUGAAAGACUUUAUGGUGUAUUAUCAGACAGCCGAUGCAGUUCAUGUUUACAUUUACUUUCCAAUUGACCAGUCUGAUCAGUGAUAUGUUUUAUCAGAAGUCUAUGGUCAGACAGCCUUCUGAUCUGCCCGCACCAAUCGUAGCGAAAGAGGGCUUGGAUUGUGUAAGAGCAACGAACAGAAGGCAACCCGGGACCCAAAGUCACAGGACCCAAGGACAUCGCUGCCAGGAUCUGGGCAAAGAGCUACAAAGCUGCUAUUGUUGCUCCAAGAGGAACCUCGAGCAGACAAAUGACAAAGAAUUUCAACCACCCUUCCCCUUACAUCCAACUGGAGUUACUGUAGAAGAAAAAUAAAACAAGGAUUGGCUUUUUAAGGUUUAGCAUGUUUAUCAUUUAAACCAUAACUUUUCCCUUGGAGGGUUUAAUUAGUUUGCAUGUGUUCUUUUUCUGCAACACUAUGUUUCACGUGUACAAUCCCAGCAACAUUUUUAGGUUGUUGAUGCAGCAGCCAGAGAUGUUAACAGUUUAUUUUUAUGCAGUUUGUUUUAAUGUAUUCCAAUUUAAUAGCCCUGCAAUAAAUCCUAUAUUUGACACAGUCUCAAAAAUCUAGAAAUUACAAGCUUCACAGAGAGGUGUCAACUGGGACAGUUUAAAGCUUUACAUGGUGACUGAGUUGCAGCACCUCUUCUAGAGUCCAAAACUCACUUGUCUCAGCUUAAAAACUUCAGUAAUAAUCUACACAUCUUCACAGAUAAAUCAAUUAGGGAUACUGGUUUCUUAACUGGACUGCAGAAAUGUUUCAGGCUUUGGAUGUUACAGAAUCUGAGUAGGUCGGGUCUGCCUAUUUAAUUUUUCUUAAGGAUGGUUUUGUGUUAAUUGUGUCUGAGUUUUACUGUGUUGUAUGUCUGACUGUUGUUACUGUUUCUGUUUGUCACUGUUGAUUUUAACUGAUGUGUCUGAUAUGACUGAA
Siniperca chuatsi (mandarin fish) is the source of this 1586-nucleotide long non-coding RNA. RefSeq lists it as uncharacterized. The transcript is spliced from 3 exons. Lineage: Eukaryota; Metazoa; Chordata; Actinopteri; Centrarchiformes; Sinipercidae. The record is from RefSeq and is a predicted model, not a curated record.